Molecule: ribosomal RNA, 652 nt
Filed under: uncultured bacterium
Lineage: Bacteria
Description: bacterial SSU rRNA
Rfam family: Bacterial small subunit ribosomal RNA
Source: RNAcentral
GGCACGAUAUUGAAGUUACGGCGGCGACGGAUUGGCUCGCGUCCGAUUAGCUAGUUGGCGGGGUAACGGCCCACCAAGGCUACGAUCGGUAGGGGUUCUGAGAGGAAGGCCCCCCACAAUGGGACUGAGACACGGCCCAUACUCCUACGGGAGGCAGCAGUGAGGAAUAUUGGUCAAUGGGCGGAAGCCUGAACCAGCCAUGCCGCGUGCGGGAAGGAGGCCCUAUGGGCUGUGAACCGCUUUUGCCUGGGGGCAAUAAGGGCGUCGCGCACGUCCGAUGAGAGUACCAGGCGAAUAAGCAUCGGCUAACUCCGUGCCAGCAGCCGCGGUAAUACGGGGGAUGCGAGCGUUAUCCGGAUUCAUUGGGUUUAAAGGGUGCGUAGGCUGUGCGUCAAGUCGGGGGUGAAAUUCCGGUGCUCAACACCGGGGCUGCCCUUGAUACUGUCGCGCUGGAGUGCGGAUGCCGCCGGAGGAAUGAGUGGUGUAGCGGUGAAAUGCUUAGAUAUCACUCAGAACACCGAUUGCGAAGGCAUCUGGCGAAUCCGUAACUGACGCUGAGGCACGAAAGCGUGGGGAUAGAACAGGAUUAGAUACCCUGGUAUUCCACGCCGUAAACGAUGAUGGCUAACCGCCGGCGACACACUGUCGGUGG